GGGGGAUUUUGCACAAUGGGCGCAAGCUUGAUGCAGCGACGCCGCGUGAGGGAUGAGGGCCUUCGGGUUGUAAACCUCUUUCGCUGGGUUGAAAGGCCAUGCUUUGGGUGUGGUUGAUUUGAACUGGUAAAGAAGUACCGGCUAACUACGUGCCAGCAGCCGCGGUAAUACGUAGGGUACUAGCGUUGUCCGGAUUUAUUGGGCGUAAAGGGCUUGUAGGUGGUUUGUCGCGUCUGUCGUGAAAUCCUGUGGCUUAACCAUGGGCUUGCGGUGGGUACGGGCAGGCUUGAGUGCGGUAGGGGAGACUGGAAUUCCUGGUGUAGCGGUGGAAUGCGCAGAUAUCAGGAGGAACACCGGUGGCGAAGGCGGGUCUCUGGGCCGUUACUGACGCUGAGGAGCGAAAGCGUGGGGAGCGAAC
This 418-nucleotide ribosomal RNA is filed under the name uncultured bacterium. RNAcentral's name for it is "bacterial SSU rRNA". It matches the Rfam family "Bacterial small subunit ribosomal RNA", at positions 356 to 773 of the family's 1533-position model. The record is from RNAcentral.